CUUGGUCAUUUAGAGGAAGUAAAAGUCGUAACAAGGUCUCCGUAGGUGAACCUGCGGAGGGAUCAUUACAAGUGACCCCGGUCUAACCACCGGGAUGUUCAUAACCCUUUGUUGUCCGACUCUGUUGCCUCCGGGGCGACCCUGCCUUCGGGCGGGGGCUCCGGGUGGACACUUCAAACUCUUGCGUAACUUUGCAGUCUAAGUAAACUUAAUUAAUAAAUUAAAACUUUUAACAACGGAUCUCUUGGUUCUGGCAUCGAUGAAGAACGCAGCGAAAUGCGAUAAGUAAUGUGAAUUGCAGAAUUCAGUGAAUCAUCGAAUCUUUGAACGCACAUUGCGCCCCCUGGUAUUCCGGGGGGCAUGCCUGUUCGAGCGUCAUUUCACCACUCAAGCCUCGCUUGGUAUUGGGCAACGCGGUCCGCCGCGUGCCUCAAAUCGACCGGCUGGGUCUUCUGUCCCCUAAGCGUUGUGGAAACUAUUCGCUAAAGGGUGUUCGGGAGGCUACGCCGUAAAACAACCCCAUUUCUAAGGUUGACCUCGGAUCAGGUAGGGAUACCCGCUGAACUUAAGCAUAUCAAUAAGCGGAGGAAAAGAAACCAACAGGGAUUGCUCUAGUAACGGCGAGUGAAGCAGCAAUAGCUCAAAUUUGAAAUCUGGCGUCUUCGACGUCCGAGUUGUAAUUUGUAGAGGAUGCUUCUGAGUAACCACCGACCUAAGUUCCUUGGAGCAGGACGUCAUAGAGGGUGAGAAUCCCGUAUGCGGUCGGAAAGGUGCUCUAUACGUAGCUCCUUCGACGAGUCGAGUUGUUUGGGAAU
RNAcentral lists this small RNA (815 nucleotides) under uncultured Davidiella. Its description in RNAcentral is "eukaryotic LSU rRNA". The stretch from base 533 to 815 matches the Rfam family "Eukaryotic large subunit ribosomal RNA", at positions 1 to 281 of the family's 3401-position model. Lineage: Eukaryota; Fungi; Ascomycota; Dothideomycetes; Cladosporiales; Cladosporiaceae. The record is from RNAcentral.